RNAcentral lists this ribosomal RNA (510 nucleotides) under uncultured bacterium. RNAcentral describes it as "partial 16S ribosomal RNA". It matches the Rfam family "Bacterial small subunit ribosomal RNA", at positions 28 to 507 of the family's 1533-position model. The record is from RNAcentral.
GACGAACGCUGGCGGCGUGCUUAACACAUGCAAGUCGAACGAAGAGCGAUGGAAGCUUGCUUCUAUCAAUCUUAGUGGCGGACGGGUGAGUAACGCGUAAUCAACCUGCCCUUCAGAGGGGGACAACAGUUGGAAACGACUGCUAAUACCGCAUACGAUCUAAUCUCGGCAUCGAGGAUAGAUGAAAGGUGGCCUCUACAUGUAAGCUAUCACUGAAGGAGGGGAUUGCGUCUGAUUAGCCAGUUGGAGGGGUAACGGCCCACCAAGGCGAUGAUCAGUAGCCGGUCUGAGAGGAUGAACGGCCACAUUGGGACUGAGACACGGCCCAGACUCCUACGGGAGGCAGCAGUGGGGAAUCUUCCGCAAUGGACGAAAGUCUGACGGAGCAACGCCGCGUGAGUGAUGACGGCCUUCGGGUUGUAAAGCUCUGUUAAUCGGGACGAAAGGCCUUCUUGCGAAUAGUGAGAAGGAUUGACGGUACCGGAAUAGAAAGCCACGGCUAACUACGUG